UAAAUACUCCCUCUGUCCCACAAUUCUUGUCUUAGAUUUGUCUAAAUACGGAUGUAUCAAGUCACGUUUUAGUAUUAGAUACAUUCGUAUCUAGACAAAUCUAAGACAAGAAUUUUGGGACGGAGGGAGUAUAUC
Triticum aestivum (bread wheat) is the source of this 135-nucleotide non-coding RNA. The record is from Rfam. Lineage: Eukaryota; Viridiplantae; Streptophyta; Magnoliopsida; Poales; Poaceae.